RNAcentral lists this unclassified non-coding RNA (239 nucleotides) under Hevea brasiliensis (rubber tree). Lineage: Eukaryota; Viridiplantae; Streptophyta; Magnoliopsida; Malpighiales; Euphorbiaceae. The record is from RNAcentral.
AUAUUGUACCAUCAUCAUCAUCAUAAAGUUCUUGAUGUGGCAAAAGAAACGUCCUUAACUUUUUUGCAGCACACAAUCCAACAGGAAUUUGGUGGGACUUACGUAAAUACCAGAUGUCAAAAGAAACAUGACGAGCUCUUUCAUCUACAUGAGUAUCAUUAGAAUUUAUCUUGCUAAUCUGUUUCCCAGCAACUAAAGUUGCCAGGUCAUGCAUUAAAUCAUGCAUUUUGCAACUUUCU